Felis catus (domestic cat) is the source of this 1273-nucleotide long non-coding RNA. RefSeq lists it as uncharacterized. Lineage: Eukaryota; Metazoa; Chordata; Mammalia; Carnivora; Felidae. The transcript is spliced from 3 exons. The record is from RefSeq and is a predicted model, not a curated record.
UUUGUUUCCCCUCACAGCAGGCCCCGAGGCAGGUACUACGGUAGGGUAGGUGGGCACCGGGUCAUUUAUUUGGCAGUGAUCUCAGGGAAGCACAUGUGAAGAAGUGGAUGAAGAGAGACGGAAGGGAGGGAAGCCUAUAGAGUACGCAUUAAUGAGGGGGUUAAAAUUCUGGGCAGUGGGGACCCAGUCCCACAGGGGACCUGCUGACAAACUGUGGAACAAGCCCUAUGUUAAUUUACUCACAGAUAUUGAUCCCCUGGAUAUGGGGCACCAGGGGUGCCCUUCUGAGGUGCCCCUGCUUGUGGGUGAGUGAAAUCAUGUGGUUCAUGUGGUGCCAGAAAAACCGUUAGGCAGAAAAGGAGGCAGCAGGGUGAGAACAGGACUGGAAACUCUCCACCCUGGCUGCAGGGGAAGAAAAUCGAGCUUUUACAGAGGACACUCACCUAUGCAGAACGAGCUGGCAUCAAAUCCAGCUCGGACUGCAGCGCGUGGGCUCUUAAGGGAAAGCCUAACCAGAACGUUAGCCUGCUGCACAGAACUGGGAGACUCACACUGUGAGGAGCUUGCCCAAACAACGCUGAAAGGUGACAUUCUCCAAACGUCUUUACACGUUAUGGAAUGCCUCAGACAGGACUGCAAUGGCUACAACAGUUAAUCUGAACCUCCUCCUUGCAAAUGUUAUCUUGUGUGCAGAUCAAGAAAGUCCUUCCCACUCAUCUGUAGUAAGCCCUGGAAAAUAUAAGCAGCAGCCCCUGAAAUUCUCCUCAUAACUAGUACAUAUCUUGUCUAAGGAGAGGUGUCAGGACACAUCCCAAAUGCGAAGUCACGGGCUUUCAGAGGCAGCGGGGAGAGGCUCCACUGUCCUAAAUUGCCUCACCCCCUGCCUCUUCGUGUACAUUUUUUGAUGGAAAGGUGUGAGAGGAGUGCCUAGAAAGUCAUCCUGCAGGUAGGUGAUCCUGAUUUUAUAAUUAGGAGAUUUUUACGUAUACUGAAGCCCUAUAUGAGGAUGCUAAGACACAACAGAGGAUGGCAUUUGUUCCCUCUGAUAGCAUAGUUUUAGAUAUCUGAGAGCUGUGGAGACAGACUGAUCUGCAGCCAGACAGAUGUAGCUCUGUUCUUCCUAGGUGAGAGUCCCUGGGUGUACCACAUAACCUCCCCAAGCCUGCUUCUCAUUGUAAAAUGAGGCCACUACAACCUACCUCAUGGGGUUUUGGAAUAAAUGGGUCCAGCUCAUAGCAGACAGUCAAUAAAAGACCGUUUAUUUCCCCUGCAA